Long non-coding RNA from Syngnathus typhle (broad-nosed pipefish), 1752 nucleotides. RefSeq lists it as uncharacterized. The transcript is spliced from 3 exons. NCBI's taxonomy places the organism in Eukaryota, Metazoa, Chordata, Actinopteri, Syngnathiformes, Syngnathidae. The record is from RefSeq and is a predicted model, not a curated record.
UCAGCCUGCUGCACUGCAUCAAGACCUUUAAGUGAUUGUCGACGUAUUUCAUGCCGCGGGAAUGAAAAAUCAAUCUCUAUUGCAAUGAAAAAGAAAAAGGUAAAAAGCGAGACUUAGAGAGAGAAUUUAUUUGGCCUGUCAGCACAUUUAGCCAUUUUCAAUCACACACUCGACAUGUGGAUCAUUAUUACCAUUUUUUGUUACUGUAGGAUUAUUUAUUUGAGGAAGGCAGGAGGAAAUAAAGAAGGAAGGUACGAAGGGAAGGGCAGAAGGAAGGACGGAAGGAAGAGAGGAAGGAAGGAAUAAAGAAAGGAAGGAUGGACGAUAGAAAGGGAAGAAUGUGAAGAAGGAAGGAGUUAAGAAUGGAAAGAAGGAAAAAAAGAAUGAAGAAAGAAAGGAGAGUAGAAGCAAUGGCAGCUCGGGAAACUGGCCUUCAGUGUGAACGUCUCCUGGUUCCUGUGGGCACCCUGCACAUUCCUGACUGGACUGGUGUAGAAUCAACGCAAGGGUGCCUGGCCAACGCUGCACAAAAUGCACAUUCUUUAUUAAUUGAGCUCGAGCUAAGCCGCAAACCUUCAAUGCUGGCCGUCCAAUCACAGCGCAGUAGGGAAGAGCAGGCUGGCCAAUCACAUCAGCUAAAUGGACAGGCACAACUUGGUCAACUCCAAGAAAGAGGAAAACGAGAUGAAAGACAUGUCAACAUUUUGGAACAUCUUACGACCGAGAAGCACUUGAUAUGAGCUGGAUGCGAGAUGUGCCACGGAGAUAUCUACAAGACUCGGGACGUAAGGGUUUGAGGAGGGACAAAACAGGAAAAAAGAAAAAUUCCCCACCCAGCAUGUGAAAACCUGUGUCAGGUUUCCUCAUAGACAAGGUCACCCUCUCUCCGUGUCGCCUCAGUGCCUCCACUGUGGUAACCCAAUCUGCCGCCGCAGAAAAAAAAAAAGCUUUUUGUCGCAAGAGAAGACUUAAACCGUUUCCCCGUAGUCUGCGUCUAUUUUUCCGAUGUUGUGUUGCAAGAGGUUGCAUCAAAAUUCCUCACAAACUCAAUUCCUUCUCGCACAUUUUUGGUCCAAAUCCAUUUAAAGCAGCCUAUCGUGCAUUUUGGCAAGAACUUGCCGCAAAGGAGCACGAAAUGAAGACAGGAAACGGGAGAAGAGCAGAGGACCCGGGAGGCUUUCAGACAAGAGGUUGCUUUUCUACAUCGCCGACGAGCGAGGCCGACACCCGAGCCGUCUGAAUGGGAAUCGGAUCAUCUGUCAACACAAGGCACGGCCCGGAUCCUGCCUGCAGACUGACAUGGAUAGGACACUUCCUCUUACGGUCCCAUGAAAUGGUGGCGCAUAUUGUUGCUAUGGUGAUUGUCGGUUACGACCAGGGGCAACAGGUGGGACUGCCCUAAAGUGCAAACCAAAGUUAUUUUAACACCACCUGUUCAUGUCAGCAGUUUUCAAAUUUUUGGAUUCGUGGAUAUUUUACAUGAUCAAAUCCAAACAUGCUCACAGCCUGAAAGACUGACACAACUAAUCAAGCCAAACACAACAGUCGACCUUUUCCUCGGAGGCACAAAUUUUAAGGUGCCCUUUGAGGUGAACACAAGGUUGUAAGUCUAAACCAAAAGCUGCUCGUCAUUUCCAGACUUGCUCCGGCCUCCUCUUGUAUUAUGAAGCAUCCAACCAGGAGGGUGGCAAAUACACAGUAACCCCGAACUUCCCCUUUCCUCUGGAGGGGAAGCCAUUUUAUUGUGUUAGA